AGAAUCAACGCUGGCGGCGUGCCUAACACAUGCAAGUCGAACGCGAAAGCCCCGCAAGGGGCAAGUAGAGUGGCAAACGGGUGAGUAACACGUGGGUGACCUGCCUUCGAGCGGGGGAUAACGUCCCGAAAGGGACGCUAAUACCGCAUAACAUCCUGCCUUUGAAGAGGCGGAGAUCAAAGCUGGGGAUCGCAAGACCCGGCACUUGAAGAGGGGCCCGCGCCUGAUUAGCUAGUUGGUGGGUAAUGGCCUACCAAGGCAACGAUC
This 267-nucleotide ribosomal RNA is filed under the name uncultured soil bacterium. RNAcentral describes it as "partial 16S ribosomal RNA". It matches the Rfam family "Bacterial small subunit ribosomal RNA", at positions 26 to 281 of the family's 1533-position model. The record is from RNAcentral.